GAUGAACGCUGGCCGUUUGCCUAAUACAUGCAAGUCGAGCGAACGGACGAGAAGCUUGCUUCUCUGAUGUUAGCGGCGGACGGGUGAGUAACACGUGGAUAACCUACCUAUAAGACUGGGAUAACUUCGGGAAACCGGAGCUAAUACCGGAUAAUAUUUUGAACCGCAUGGUUCAAAAGUGAAAGACGGUCUUGCUGUCACUUAUAGAUGGAUCCGCGCUGCAUUAGCUAGUUGGUAAGGUAACGGCUUACCAAGGCAACGAUGCAUAGCCGACCUGAGAGGGUGAUCGGCCACACUGGAACUGAGACACGGUCCAGACUCCUACGGGAGGCAGCAGUAGGGAAUCUUCCGCAAUGGGCGAAAGCCUGACGGAGCAACGCCGCGUGAGUGAUGAAGGUCUUCGGAUCGUAAAACUCUGUUAUUAGGGAAGAACAUAUGUGUAAGUAACUGUGCACAUCUUGACGGUACCUAAUCAGAAAGCCACGGCUAACUACGUGCCAGCAGCCGCGGUAAUACGUAGGUGGCAAGCGUUAUCCGGAAUUAUUGGGCGUAAAGCGCGCGUAGGCGGUUUUUUAAGUCUGAUGUGAAAGCCCACGGCUCAACCGUGGAGGGUCAUUGGAAACUGGAAAACUUGAGUGCAGAAGAGGAAAGUGGAAUUCCAUGUGUAGCGGUGAAAUGCGCAGAGAUAUGGAGGAACACCAGUGGCGAAGGCGACUUUCUGGUCUGUAACUGACGCUGAUGUGCGAAAGCGUGGGGAUCAAACAGGAUUAGAUACCCUGGUAGUCCACGCCGUAAACGAUGAGUGCUAAGUGUUAGGGGGUUUCCGCCCCUUAGUGCUGCAGCUAACGCAUUAAGCACUCCGCCUGGGGAGUACGACCGCAAGGUUGAAACUCAAAGGAAUUGACGGGGACCCGCACAAGCGGUGGAGCAUGUGGUUUAAUUCGAAGCAACGCGAAGAACCUUACCAAAUCUUGACAUCCUUUGACAACUCUAGAGAUAGAGCCUUCCCCUUCGGGGGACAAAGUGACAGGUGGUGCAUGGUUGUCGUCAGCUCGUGUCGUGAGAUGUUGGGUUAAGUCCCGCAACGAGCGCAACCCUUAAGCUUAGUUGCCAUCAUUAAGUUGGGCACUCUAAGUUGACUGCCGGUGACAAACCGGAGGAAGGUGGGGAUGACGUCAAAUCAUCAUGCCCCUUAUGAUUUGGGCUACACACGUGCUACAAUGGACAAUACAGAGGGCAGCGAAACCGCGAGGUCAAGCAAAUCCCAUAAAGUUGUUCUCAGUUCGGAUUGUAGUCUGCAACUCGACUACAUGAAGCUGGAAUCGCUAGUAAUCGUAGAUCAGCAUGCUACGGUGAAUACGUUCCCGGGUCU
RNAcentral lists this ribosomal RNA (1372 nucleotides) under uncultured bacterium. RNAcentral's name for it is "bacterial SSU rRNA". It matches the Rfam family "Bacterial small subunit ribosomal RNA", at positions 28 to 1381 of the family's 1533-position model. The record is from RNAcentral.